RNAcentral lists this long non-coding RNA (13721 nucleotides) under Musa acuminata (dwarf banana). RNAcentral's name for it is "long non-coding RNA (MACU_LNC002955)". The record is from RNAcentral. Lineage: Eukaryota; Viridiplantae; Streptophyta; Magnoliopsida; Zingiberales; Musaceae.
GCGAACGCGGAAGCCCUGGAAUUCAUGAUGGCCUUUGCCAGUGAGUGGUCGAGCCCGAACGACGAUGCGGCGCUAACAGGAGGGGAAGAAGACAGGCCCCCACCGUAUCCAGACAGCAAUUGAGACUGGUGCAUCUGGAUUGCAGCAGGGGAUUGCAUCUGAGGCCCCGUCUUCUUCCUCGCGGAGAGCCCCUGCAAUUGGGUUAGCAGCGAUGGAUCGACAGAACCCAACAGAUCAGUGUAGUCUGGAGCUCGAGUGGUUGCCGCGGCUAAGUUGUUCGUUCCCCAGCUGGCCCGCGGAGAGGCCGUUUUUGCGAUUUCGUCGACAAGCUUCUGCUGAUACUCUUCUAAUCCGAGCAACUUGAGGUCGAAAUCCAAGUCUCUGGCACUCAGCGAAGCCUUGAGCCUGCUGCUCGGCAGCUGUAAGGCCGGAGGAGUCACCACGCCGCCCGUCUGAUUCAUCCAUGCCGCUGCGGACCCUAUGCCCGAUGAAGCCGAGGGGGACAUGGGGGAGCCGGGCUGCUGCAUCAGCGUCAAGGCCAUGGCCAUGUCCAAAGAGGAAAGGCCUUGUGAUGACGACGGCAACACCAUUCCGGCAACCGAUGCUGCAGUGGGGUUCACCGUCCGCAGCUCCUCCGGCUUGUGGGCGAAGAAGCAGACCCGGCGGUUGCAGCCAAUCUCAUCCUUGCAGAGCCGGGUCCGGUACUGCGCCGGGUGAAGCCAACUCUCGAACACGCCGUGGGCAUAUUCGCAAGCAUCGCCGUUCCGGCAAGAACCUUUCCGGAACUCGGGGCACGGCACGCAACUGUAGGAGUACUUCCUUGGGUCUCGGCGCCGAGCGUUCUCGCCGGGGUGGACGAAGGGGCACUCCGUCCAGUCGUGGGAGUACGCGCGAGAGCACGGCUUAAUCUUGAAGGUAUACAUCCGGAACUCGUCGGUGCCGUAGAUCCCGGUCUUAAUGUCGGGGAGGGUCAAAUCCGGCGGGUAUUCCUUCUUCUCCGCCUGUUUUGCUUGCUCUUCUCUGCUCGGUGAUGAAACCCUAGGGCAAGAAGUAGCUUUUAAGAUCACCUCGAGGGACUUGGCAACGGUGCUCGAGAAUUGCCGGGCGAUAACGUCGCCGGGGCGGCUCCCGCCCGCAUCGAGGGCGUCAACGACGUCCGCAGACGCGCCGAUCAAGAGCUUAACGGCUUCGAGAGAAGCCGCGGAGCCGCCGGCGGCAGCGCAGUGCAGGGCGGUGGCUCCGUCGGAGUAGGCGUGGCGGACGGCCUCAGCUGGGCAGGCGGACAGGAUGUAGCCCAUCACGGCGGUGCUGCCGUAUAGCGCCGCGAUCAUGAGCGGCGUCCGCAGCUGGUAACCCAUUCCCCGGCCAGGAGAGCGGCCGUACCAGGAGGCAGCGGCAUCCAACGGUCGGCCGUCGUCCUCCACCGCCCGCCUGAAGGCGGCGAGGUCGUCGGAAGCGGCGAGCUCAAGGAGCACUGCGGCCGCCUCCGACGAAGUCUCCAUGGCCUCUGCGCCGCAUCCCGCCGCGGGGUCGUUGGGCAGCGAGGAGAGCUUCCGGUGGCCGCCACACAUGUCCUCUCUUCCACCUACAUCAAGCAACAAAACUCCGUCAAAAACCAAAAAGAGGCAACAAAUCGAACGCCACGAUGAAACCUAUGAGAAUGGAUGCGUACGAGAGCCGAUGCGAGUGUGAGGGAACGAAGGGAACGAGGAGGUCGUGAUUUGCGAGGAAAGCUUUGGCCUUUCGUCCCCUUUUGUAGGCGUGAGUGGGAGUGCGUGUCAAUUAUGCUUGUCAGGCAAAUCCACAUUUAAAAUUGCAUAAUGACCCUUGCGGAACCCCAUAACUCAUAAUGUCGCACAUAAGAUUCUCUCAUAAACGCCCCUGAGAGGGAUCGAUAUGAAAUUUUAUAUUCUGUAGGGACGGAUGUGGGAUGGGUCGCAAUAAUUCCACGGGGAGAGAGAGAGAGAGAGAGAGAGAUGAGGGAAGCAGGUGGGAACUGCGCUCGGGUCAAAAAGACGACUCCGGGAAGGAAGCUGCCUUCUUCCUACCCGUCUCUCCGGAUGAGAACGAAAUGAAACGACGCGCGGUCCAAACCCCGACACACAAAAUGAAACGACGAGAUGACUGACGCCGUGUGCCCCCGUGGGAAUUCCCGUCUGGGAUUCCGUCCACAGCGGGCCACGCGGCGUCAGCGUCCGUGGGAGGAGGCCACGUUGAAUCCGAGGCGACUUCGAGUGGCUCGGUCGACACGCGUGAACCGUUCAUCUUCGUUUCCCCCCUCUGCGGCCGGACGAGGGUCCGGGACCAUGUGGGUCCCACAUAUUUUAUUGGUCAGAUGGGAGAUAAGGAGGUGGGUAACUGGUGGGGUGGCGUGAGGUGGGGAGAAACCGCUCAUCGGGAAAUGGGAAUGCCGUGGGCCGCAGGCAGCGUCGAAUACCGAGGUAGCCCCCACCAAAGAUUCGAGCACGCUCGGUGAGCGUACCGCGCCACAGAGUCGUGCUCCAAAUCGUUUGCCGAGUCGCUGCCCACAGCGCUCCUCUACCCGAGUCACGAAAUCAACGCGUGUCGAUCGCAACCGAAUCUAAAUCCAGUCUUCGGGUUCGAGCGGGCAGAUUAAUCGGGCAUGCGAAGAUAAAAAAUGCUACGCAUGAUAUAUAAUACGUCGAAUCGGUCAGACCAUAUAAAGGCCAUAUGAUACACACUCGAGUGUUUAGCAAACAAAUCGACAUGAUGAAUGUUGUUUAGGUGGAAAGAGACGAUGGUUGCAGACAAAUAGUGUGACAAGGUUUAGUUUGACCACGAAGUCAUCGGCCGCCACGGUCGGCUUUUGGAUAAGAAAUCUACGUUCAAAAUGUAAGAAAAUGGAAGCUUGACCUCGCACUACCCAAUGGUACAUUACAAUAAAUAUUAUUAGAGGGGGUGGGUGGUGAGUCUCUUUCCGGGCCCCACACCGUGUUCUAUGUUUAUGAGGAGAUGGGUGGUAUGAGAGGUGGAGAAUUAAUACCAGUAGAAUACUCGGUCCUUUGUUUCUUUCUUUCCCUAGAUUUAUUAUCAUAUGCUGAUGGAGUGGGACAAUUUGGAUGCCCCAAAAACAAUUAUAUAGAUGAUACGAUUUUAAUUUUUAUUUGAUACCAGAUGAGGUUCGGAAUAAAUCAAACUUUAUUCGUAAGAUUGAGAUAUUGAAAAACGAUCCUAUAAAAGAUAUGUGAAGACAUAUUCGAGGAAGAAGUUCAAAACGAUUUGAUCGAGUAUAUAGAAGUGUCCUUAAGUCAAUAAAAUUAAAUUUUAGAGGAUUUGAUCAAGCUCGAGUAUAUUCAGGUGCAAGUCUUUAAGAAUACACUCGAAAGGUCUUUUUAUGGUAUGAUAAAUGAUGUUGGAGUUGAAUGUUGAAAAGUGACAUGCCUAGAAGAUAAGAGCUGUGUCAGUGAACCACUAAUAGAUAGUAACAUUCACAAUAUAAAUGUAUCCUCAGUCAAAGUCAAAUAUUUGAAUGAUUCAGGGCAAAAAUAUGAUUAAUGCAUCUCAGGAUUUGUCAUAAUUUUGAAGAGUACAAGGCAAGUUUUCUUGAACUAUUGGAUUAGUUUUUUUUUAUAAGCAGUGAGUUAAUUAGAUUUCACCUCAAACAAGACAGCCUUAAUAAUAAUCACAAAAAGGAAAGAGAAAACAAAUCACUGGAAACUUUUGAACAGUGUUAUUUCACUUCCACCAGUUUAAUAGUGAGAUUAAGUGUGGCCACCAGACCUCUUCUAUAAGAACAGACACAGUGCCACUUAUGUGUGAUGAAAUGCAAUUUGACUCAUGCAGUUGUUCCAACCUAAUCAACUGAAAGAAGAUUCUUCAAAGUUCAAAGUCAAGGUUUAUUAUUUCCUUGUGCACAGUGAUGAUUCUAUUUGUUGUAUCCUUUUGAUUCAUGGAGAACUUGAACCUGACAUAAUAUAUAAUAUCUGAAACUUUGUUGCAGAAAUUUCUUUCCUAUUAUGACAAUCUCCAAUGUGGAGGAGUUCAUCCUUCCACUGGCAACUAAGUUCUUUAAUCAGUAUACAUUUGACCAUUGUCAGACAUCAGAAACACUGCAUAAAUGGAUAGCAACUUCAAAUCCACCAACCACCACAAAGAGAAGGAGUUGGAGCAAGUCAACCAUUUGAGAUUUAGAUAAGAUUUCAUCUCCAGCUUCAGACAAAACAAUUAAACCAGGUUAGGACUCUCCCAAUAUUUCUAGAUACCAUGAUAAUAGUUAGCUUUAGCAGAUAUUGAUGAUGGCAUUAGAAACAUGAUGCACUCACCAUUUUCCCAUGACUUCCAUUGUUAUGCACAACUACUCAUCAUCAAGGGAGGAAGCUUCAUGAUCAUUUCAUGGCUGCAUAUAUAGGCCCACUGUUCUCGGCAACAAUUACCUGCGACUAGGAAAAAAAAUAGCAUAUUUUCACUGAAAAAAAUAACAGAUAUCAAAGUUGAUGGGACUGGCUACCCAGUUAUGUGUACAACAGAGCAGAACCAUCCGAUAAGCAUCACUUGCAUGAUUAAUUUCAAGACAGGUGAAUUCCUCAUGCUAUUGUAACAUGUGAUCACACCAACUGUUUCUAAAAUGCAGAUAGAAAGUGUUAUCACACAAAUUCGAAUCAGGUUGCGGUAGGAAGAACUUCAAACAGCAUCAUCAUACAAACACGAAUCGCAUCAGCAGCUUUACGGAAUUGAAUUUGUUGCCCUUGUGGUCAAAAAGUGGCACAGCCCUGAUCCCUGGCCUCAACUCCGAAACAGGAAUGCAAGUCUGUCCACCAAAGUCAUCCUUCUCAGACAUAUCAUACUCAUGUACUUCAAUACGAAGCAAAGCCAGUUCAGGUACAGUUAAAGUGAAGGUAAACUCCUCAUCCCAAACUGGUGUCCAGUUGUCCUCUAUUGUCUUUGUUUUCUUCAUCACGGUGUCAGCUGGAACUCCAGCUAUCCCUACCUGUUAAUUACCAAACAAUUGCAGCAUAAAUCAGAUCAACCAUCAUCCUGUUGAAGUUCGAGAGCAACAUCCCUCAGCUUUAGUCCAUAGAGAAAAGAAAAUACAUUAAAUCUGAAACAAACUAAUAGUUUGUAUAUGUUACCCUUGUAUAGAAAUCUGGAGGAGAAUAUGCAUCAAAGUGUGUCUGACUAAAAUCCAUACGCCAACCAUCUCCCAUAUAAAUUUUUACCUGUCCAAAAAUAUUGACUUGAUCAACAAUUUCAACUUCUGAUCAAAAACAAAAAAAGAAAGGGAUGCAAAAGAAAAAUUUAUGAAGAAAACUAUUAUCACCUUUAAAGUUUUCUUUACAGGUAAGACGGCUUUAGGAUCAAAAACCUCAUUGUUUGGACCAGCCUUCACCAAGAAAUCAGGCUUCUUUAUAUACCCACAACCCCCAUUGGCUUUAUAAAAUCCAUGCAUCAGCCACAGCGACCUGCCAUAUCCCUACGGAAGAAAUGGCAAUAGAAUAUCAAGUGCAGUGUUCCUAAAGGGAUUCAAACAAAAUUUACUUAAUGAAGGUUUUGCCAUGAAAGACUAAGUGAAGCCAUUUUGAUGCGAAAUGACUUAUUAUGUACUUGAAACCAAUACCACAAAUCCUUGUAAAUUUUUUUUGGCAGCCAGCAGCAUGGUUUGGACAUCGCAGUGGAAAAUUGGAGUCUCAAUGUAACUUGAUCUGACAUCAAAACUUGUUAAAUCACACAAUUUCCAGACUCCAAACAGAUGGAAUCUUAGCCUAUUUGUCGGUUGCCCUCCACAUAUUAAGAAAGGUUCUAAGUUCAGAUACUUGUGGAUGUGGUGCCCAUAGACGACGAAUGACGAGAAGGCAUAAGACGGGAAAGAAAAUAUUCAUCAUGUAUUUUGAUCAGUAUUUCAAGACUAGAGAUACCUGCAUGUUGAAUGCAACCAUCUGAGCACCAUGAAUCCAACCAAUGAAUGGAUUGUAGUUAGAAGAAUUAAAGCGGGUGCCCUUUGGAUAUAUCCUGAGAAGAUUUUUCUGAGUGAACCUAUAAAAUAAAAUGACAAUUAUAUCAACAGACUAACAGAUUCUCAGAAAACAAGUAACAUUCGGGUGAACAUGCAUGCUCCAUCCAAGUUAAAAUAUUUGCAUGGGCUAAAACUACCAACAGAUUACUAAAAAUAUAUAAAUAGAGGAAGUUUCUGAUAUUUUCCAAUUAAUUUUGCAUGUGAUGGGAGCUGAUUUGAGGUAGUAUGAAGCUCAUGGAUAUUUCCAAAAGAGGCCCAAAGAUAAACCAAUUAAACGGGUGUGUCAAAAUAUAUCAGGGGUGUGAGGAUUGGCAAAAGAACAUCCGACAAGAAUAUAUUAGAAACAGUAGUCUUUUUAUCAAAAACAAUAAAGACUUCUGCUGGAUUUUAGAUUGGCUAGUAAAAUUGCUCACGAUAAAGCUCGAUGAUAGGAAAAAGAUCUACAAAGUGGCCUCCCGUUAUUGUUGUCCGAAUGAUUUUUUGCAAUAAGAAAAGAGAAAUCAAACAAGAUUUGAAAAGGAAUGCACACUUAACAAAAUUAGGACCUUAGUAAAUCAGCUCCGUGUGUCGCUGCAGCUUUGACAAGUUCUUGCUCACUCAGACUUAAUCGUCUAACUUUCUCUGGAUCAACGUUUAGUGCUUCGCUCAUGUGACCCUUAGGUUUCCCUGCCCUGAUGGUGAUUAGACAUUUGUACUCAGGCGGUGCAUUCUGACGCUCUUUUUGAUCAUCAUCAUCAUCUGCAAGUUCCUCAUCUUGAACUUCUUCAUCCUGAGCAAUCUCAGUAAUAAGAAACUGGCUAUUAAAUACACAGUGAAUAUUAGACAUCAGAUGGAAGUGCAUUAAACAUCAUUUGACACCUUAUUAGCUAAUUCAAAUUCAGUUUGUAUAUCUGAAACCUCCUUUCCCCACGCUUCUUCUUCAUUAGAAUCAUUUUCUUUUUGAGUAUCACAAUCCUUCUCCUUAAAACUUUUAGCUUCAAGGUACUCUUUUGGUGGUUUGGUGGAAAUGAUAAUCCUUUUCUUCAGAGCUUCUGGUGAAGGGAAUUCCUUGUGACUUUCUGAGUCAGGGUAGUACAGCAUGUCUCCAAAUGUUUCCAUGACCAUCUAAAGAAAUGUUUCGCUUGAAGUUAAAAGAUGAAUUGAAAAUACACGGUUGAAAAUUUUCAUUAAGGAGAAAAAAGAAUCUACCUUGGCUACUUUAGCCUGGAGAUCAGGAGUAAGGUGGUCCUCCAAAGUUAUGAUAACAGGAUACGGAGAUGCUGAAAAGGCAUGCUCUUUGAUGGAUUUUAAACAUCUGAUAAGCUCCACAGGAGAAGUCAAUGUCCUACAUAACAAAUUUUUUAGAAGGUAAGCUAAGGCACUUAAAUACAAAGAAGUGACCAAUAGCUGCAUAUUAACAUUAAGCGCAAUUUCAUGUCUUUGGUUAUUAACAUACUGAACCUAGUUACCUUAUUAGCAGCAGCAUCAACCAAGCAGCUUAAAUAGGAGGAGGAAAUGGGGCACACACGUAUAUAGCUGUUAAUUAGAGUAGAGGAAAAAAAUAUUUGAUACAGAACGGAAGGAACUUGCCUGUGGACCAUUUGUUUGCAUUUUUUUUCAAGACAAUGAAUUAUCAAAAAAGAAGUGUGGCAUUUGUUCUUCAGUAUGCCAAUUUUUAUCUUAAUAAAAGGCAUUUUAAAUUACUCUCAGAGAAUCAACCAAAUCAUAUGGAUGAACAAAAACAAAGAUAUACCACCUGAGAACUUGCAAACUCUGUGGAUCUGUUCCACUGUGUCUAACAAUAAUGUCGAUUUGAGAAUCAUAAACGUUAUACAAAAGAGAAUUAUCAGGCCAUGUCAUAUAUAGUAUGCUACAUUAUAAAAAAAAUACUAGGUGCAAUAUAUUAUUUUUCACAAUUUUCUCUAAAUAGUGAUCCGAUAGAAAAGUUUAAGAAGAAACCAGGCAUAACACCAGUAUACCUUCCAUGAAGAACAUUGAUAUUGUCUCUUGCAGAAUUUGGCCAUAUAUCCAGCUCAAUUACUCUCACACCUCUCUGAAGUGCUCUUAUAAUUGGAACAUCGCUGCAGUCACUACUGAGCUGGUUUCCCGUCAAGUAUGAAUUGUGGCCUGUAUAUAUGUAAUAGUGGGACAGUGGAGCCGUCAUAUCAUGGUGAACCUGCAUUAGUAUCAAGUAUUCAUAUUGCUAACAUGUAAAAAUUUCUGAGCUAUGAUUUAAGCAGUACAGUUAUAUUAACCUGUAAGUCAUGGCUAUAGGCUGAACAGUAUAACAGGAAAUUGAAGUGUCAUAAUAUCUUAGAUGUUCAGAAUUUAUUAUCACUUGGAAGGGAAACACAAUAGUAAUAAUAUCAUCAGCAUAGUUCAACAUGAAGUUCUGGAUAAAACAAUUAGGAUAUUGGAUUCUUCCAUUAGCACCACUGGCACAGAAUCAGUUUCUCCAAUGUAUUUGUUUCAAUUUUUAUCACUGAAAAAGAUCAAAGCAUAAUAUCAGGUAAUCAAAGAACAUUAAAAACAAAAAACAAACCUAAGCAAGCAGCAUGUAAGGGAAAGAAACAAAGUAGCCUGAGAUGGUAACAUUUGAAACCUAAAGAACAGAUCUACAAGUUUUUAAUAUCUUGAUCAACCAGUAUCUUAGCAAUAAGAUAAAUGAGGCUUGUAAUUCUACCAUAAAUAGCAUACAAAAGAGUAUCACAUUAGAUUCUUUUUUCCAACAUUUACUGAACAUAAAAGGAACAUCUUCCACGACAAGCAUCGACUAGAAUGCAUCAUAAUUCACAAGAAUUAAUUGCUCAAGUCUAUGUGAUUUCGAUUCCUAAAUAUGACUUGUACAGUUCUUCUAAAGUUGUCGUCUUUAAUCCAAAGACAGAAGCAAUCAUGGACCAACUUUCAACAAAUACUACACCUCCAUCGAAGGUAACAACAACAGGGGCCAAGCAGACCACCAGGAUCAAGAGAUCUACAAGAGGCGCGAGCAGACCUGCGGUUGUAAGGGAGGGUUCAGCUCCUCGGAGAAGAGGUAGUGGUGGAAAUCGUCGAGGGUGAAGGGCGGCUUGGAGAGCUUGGCGAGGUGGGAGGGGCGGCGGAGCUGGCGGACGCGCUCCAUGACCCGCUCGGCGUCGGCGGCGGUGGCCCCGGCCUCGCCCUGUGCCUCCUCUAGGAACUGACGGAGCUGAUCCGCAGUCAUGUGGGCUCCGCCCUCGGCGUAGGUCGCGAAAGCCUCCCGCACGUCCUCUGUGGGCUUCGCCUCGCUCCACCGGAACUUCCUCGUGAAGCAGAUGCAGCACCUGUAGCUCCCCAUCCUCUCUCUCUCUCUCUCCAAAAUUCCACCUUCCUUGCUUACAUCCACGACCAAAUGGGGCUCCCGGCAAAUAUAAACGAUCGAAGACGGCGAAGACGAGGAGGCGCGCCGCGAAAUGGACGCGGUUUAACUGUCACAGUGGUUUCCAGUGACUCUCCGAGAAAGGAUAGGGAUACCUCCCUCAGAAGAACACCUUUCGUUACCGACACGACCGAAGCCCACACACGCACCCACCCGCAGCAAGAGGGCCCCAGAUCGUGGCCGUCGCUUUGGGUGGGGAAAGAGACCUCGUCAAGGGUUUCCAUGGAGAAUGCCGUCCCGAUCUCGUAACGGCGACGUUGUUGGUGAAGGUAAUGCCCCGGUUCGUGAAUCACAAAGUACACGUGGACAAGAGUCAUCCGUCAGAUCGAAACUCAGACUGUGUCCCUCGGCGACCGCGACGGUCACACCGGUGGGGUGAGAGGGACCAAAGAAUAAUUGGGCCGGCGUACGUGUCGGAUACGCGGUCACGAUCACCGGGUUUGGGUCAACCUUAUCCACGCUGCCGGUCUAUGGAUUAAUAAUGCUGAUGAGGGUAAAUAAUGGUGACAUGUCGUGCCACGACGUCAGUCAUACCUGGGUGUCACUCUGCCCGAGGAGAAGGGCAAUAAUGUCGACUCGACAUGCGCUGACGUCACCCACUCUCGGACAACGAUGAAGUCGUUGUCUGACCCGCGCGCUUGACCGAGGCAGAGGAGGACGACGACUGAUGCUCGCCCAUACCCUGCGGCAGUUCGGUUCUCCACCCAACGCCAAUGGCAAUGUCAAACGCCAUCAGAGGUACAGUCCUGCUCCUGCAAACAGGCACAUCAGGUAAUGCUAAACUUACCUAUAAAUACCCUAAAGUUCUAAAUAAAAAGGAGAACACUUCUUCACUAGCAAACUCCUUCCACAUUAUCUAACUUGAUCGUUGGAGGGGUCGGGCCGAGCUUCUGACCCGACCUGUGUGCAGGUACAAGGGCGGGGUCGCAUCCUCCCGGCGCUACGGAAAAAUCUCUCUCCCGACGCAACGUCCCGACCGGACCACCGUAACCGGCCACCUCAACUGUCCCGGGGAACGCCGCGCAAGAUCCCCGCACAUUCGAACCUGAACCUGAACCAAAACGCGUCGGCCCGAGGCCACGGCAUAAAUUUGUUUACCCCUAACAAAUGCAACAAAGAAUAAUAGUAGGAUUAGGAUCUACAUUAAUCCAAUUCAAGAUGUGUCUAUUCAAAUUGAAUUUGGAAUAGGUUCGUUUAUCUAAAUAAUUAUCUGGAUUAGACAUCGGAUAUCUUUGAUUUAGAUAGGAGGGGAAGUCAAGGAGUCAUUUGGUACUCACCAUCUCAGACUCGAACAUGGAAGAAGACGACCGAGCCAAAAGAAGGGUUUUUUCUUCGUCGUGGAUCUUAUAGCCCCUGCUUUAAUGCAACUCAGUCACGCCAAUCCCAUUCUCUUGACGGGAACGUCCGCGAUGCCUUGCAGCAAUAAAAUUGAGAUGACAUCUGAGAUGAGAUAGAGUUGGAGAUGGAACACUGAGGGAAAGGGUGUUCCAUUAUUUUUCGAACAAGGAAAUCUCAAUCAGCUGACCUCAUGAUGUCUGGCCAGUUAUACAUAUGCUUUAAAGACGAGAUAAGCAAUCCAGUUCCUCUGGGUGAGGCCAACCAAGACCACCAGCAGAAACCACGGCCAGCGGCACCGGGAAUGGUCUCCUCGGCGACCGUGUCAUAAGGUCAGAGUAUUAUUCUCGCCACUGUUAUCGCCCAAGGACAAAGGAUAAAGAUUGUCGAAGACGUGGAUACCUUCCCUCUCGCCUACCAGCUAACCCAGAUGCAUCUCCCUCUCGCCGGCGCCUCCACGAACUGGAAAGAAGGGCCCAUGUGACAUCUCCUCCGCUGGGUUCCCCCACUGGUCCGCUGCCUCCGCGGUACCUCCCGACCUUCGCGAUUAAGCUUCACUCAGAAAGGCUGCGCUGCAUCUCGUCACGGUAUGACGUGGCGAGAUUGAUGACCAUCCACUCGGUCAACAAAACACUAUUCUUUGUUUUCUUCCGUUCCCUCCAGGGGCGCAGAGCCCUCCCAACGAGCCGAAACACCCAGCGGAAGCACCUUCUGGGCCCCACAACAGAAAUCAACAUGGCCCACCUUCUAUAUAGGAACCGAGCCUUCCGGGGUUUCCCUCCGUACUCCCCAUCCCCCCCCCCCCCGCCUGCUCGAGUGCACCAUGAGCUCCGCCAACGAGAACCAACAACGCGGAGAGGAGACGGCUGCAGCCCGCAACGAGCCCCGCGCCCCUGAGCAUUUCGCCAAGUUCUUCGAGUGCUGGCUCGCCGAGCAAGAACGCGACCUGCAAGUCCUCCGUACCGCAGCCGCUUCCGCCGGCGAGGAGCUCCGGCUUCGACCCCUCGUUGACCGGGUCCUCGGCCACUACGAGUACUACUACUGCGCCAAGGCCGCCUCCGUCCGCCGCGACGUGCUCCCCAUGUUCAACCCCACGUGGACGUCCUCCACGGAGAACCUCUUCCUUUGGGCCGGCGGCUGGCGGCCCACCAUGGCUUUCCACCUCCUCUACUCCAAGUCCGGCCUCCAGUUCGAGCCCCGGCUUCUCGAGCUGAUCGUCGGCAACCCCACGCGCGACCUGGCCGACCUGAGCCCCGACCAGCUGGAGCGCAUCGAUGGGCUCCACCGGCUGACGGUGCGGCUGGAGAAGGAGAUAUCUGAAGAGGAGGCGCAGGUGCAGGAGUCGGUGGCGGACGCACGGAUGGUGGAGCUGACGCAUGCGUUGGCGGAGUCAGAGGAGGUAGAAGCUGAUGCCAUGGAGCAGGAGAUGAAGAGGAAACGGGACAGGAUGAACGAGGUGUUGCAGAGGGCGGAUCAGCUGAGGCUGGAGACGCUGAAGGGGCUGGUGGAGAUACUGAAGCCGGUGCAGGCGGUGCAUUUCUUGAUCGCGGCUGCGGAGCUUCACCUCAAAGUGCACGAGUUUGGGAAGAGCAAGGACGCUGCCGCUGCCGCUGCCGCUACUGGCCGACCAGAGUAAGGCAGGUGUUUAACUGCAUCUUGUAUCUGUUAUUGGGAUGGUCUGUUUUAAGUUGAGCAUAAAGCACACUAACUACUACCACUUGUGACAUGUACUUAUGCUUAGUUAGCAUGUAGAACAUUAGCAUUAUAUCCUAAUCCAAUGGAUCCCGUCGGACCCGUUUAUAAUCCGAUCAUGUCCCGGACUCGAGUGCGACAAAUCAUGCACAUAGGCACGUCGAUCGCGAUCCCUCUCCGCGCAUGCACCGUCUCUGCGAAUCGCUGCAAGGAAGCUCCCAUCCGUCCCAGAUGCACGCAUCGUUAAAGCCCAUCGAGGCCGUCCAUCACCCAUGGCCACCCGUCACGAUCAACUACAUAUGUCGGCCGGUACACGUUCGUCCCCAUCCCCCACCUCCACCGCCACUGCCGCCGCGCAACUCGCCGCCCAUGUCCUCUCUGGUUCCAUAAAUAACAGAACCCGGCUUCGCCUUCUUUAUCUCUUCAACGGCACCGUCUCUCCGAAACCGUUUCGCCAUCGUCCACCGAUGUCUUUGCGCAGCGACUACGAACAACCCCAAACCCUAGCGGCGUUCUCUCCUCGAUCCGUCACCUACUGGUUUGCGUCGACCUCCUAAUCGAUCCGUCUCUUCAGUCGCGAUCGCAAGUCGGACUGGUAAAUUUGUCGCUUUUGUGUUGUUUUGAUGCAGCUGCGGAUCUUGUGGGUACGCGUUGAAUCUGAGCUCUUCCGAUCGGGACACCGCCAACAUCGGUUCCAAGUACAGGAAAUCCGCCAAGAAGGGCAUCGUUUCCUUCGUUGCCGUGGACGAGAGCCGGUUCUCGCAGGUCGAGGAGCUCCGUUGCUGGCCCUACUUCGAGUCGAGGCAUUCGUGGGGGUUGCUGAGGAGGAAGACCAAGUUGUCCUGUCGAAAGUGCAAGAACUUCGUUGGCGUCGGACAUUACGACGGCGCCUCCACACAGGCUGGGUCCGAUAGCUCCGUCUCGGGUUCCGGUAACGGCGAGGCGCCGAAGAAGUACUUCAUCAAGAUUAGCGCGCUGCAGCCGCUGGCGUGCGAUGACUGAGGCGUUCCUCUCUCCAGGUGAUGUUUGCUGCCAUGCCGACAUCGGACUCGCUCCUUGAUUUCGUGCAUAUGCUUGUGUGAGAAAGAAGGUGUCAUAUGUCGGGAUCCGGAACACGGUUGUACAAGAUAAUUGGACCCAAAAAAAUGAUGCCUUUGAUCUGUUUGUAGUUUUGCCUCUAAGAGUAAAGCGUGUAAUGUGUGAAUAAGAUGGUACCGAACGAAAGUUGUUGGUGAUUUUUGCGUUGGCGACAUGAGAUUUUGAUCCAUGGAUCAUAUGAACUGCAAGUUAGGAUGUUCGAUCAACAUAUGGUGGUGGAGAAUUAGCUUGAUGAAUACAUCUCGCCAU